RNAcentral lists this ribosomal RNA (253 nucleotides) under uncultured bacterium. RNAcentral describes it as "partial 16S ribosomal RNA". It matches the Rfam family "Bacterial small subunit ribosomal RNA", at positions 524 to 776 of the family's 1533-position model. The record is from RNAcentral.
UACAGAGGUCCCGAGCGUUGUUCGGAUUCAUUGGGCGUAAAGGGUGCGUAGGCGGCGGGGCAAGUCUGAUGUGAAAUCCCGGGGCUCAACCCCGGAACUGCAUUGGAUACUGCCUUGCUAGAGUACUGGAGAGGGAACUGGAAUUUACGGUGUAGCAGUGAAAUGCGUAGAGAUCGUAAGGAAGGCCAGUGGCGAAGGCGAGUUCCUGGACAGUUACUGACGCUGAGACGCGAAAGCGUGGGGAGCGAACAGG